AACUUUCCAGCCAACGGAAUCUCCUGGGCUCUCGCAUCGAUGAAGAACGCAGCGAAAUGCGAUAAGUAAUGUGAAUUGCAGAAUUCAGUGAAUCAUCGAAUCUUUGAACGCACCUUGCGCUCCUUGGUAUUCCGAGGAGCAUGCCUGUUUGAGUGUCAU
RNAcentral lists this ribosomal RNA (159 nucleotides) under Ganoderma aff. steyaertianum C17274. RNAcentral describes it as "Ganoderma aff. steyaertanum C17274 5.8S ribosomal RNA". It matches the Rfam family "5.8S ribosomal RNA". From Rfam's summary of the family: 5.8S ribosomal RNA (5.8S rRNA) is a component of the large subunit of the eukaryotic ribosome. It is transcribed by RNA polymerase I as part of the 45S precursor that also contains 18S and 28S rRNA. Lineage: Eukaryota; Fungi; Basidiomycota; Agaricomycetes; Polyporales; Polyporaceae. The record is from RNAcentral.